This 407-nucleotide ribosomal RNA is filed under the name Verrucomicrobiota bacterium. RNAcentral describes it as "Verrucomicrobia bacterium partial 16S ribosomal RNA". It matches the Rfam family "Bacterial small subunit ribosomal RNA", at positions 355 to 776 of the family's 1533-position model. Lineage: Bacteria; Pseudomonadati; Verrucomicrobiota. The record is from RNAcentral.
UGGGGAAUAUUGGGCAAUGGGCGAAAGCCUGACCCAGCAACGCCGCGUGAAGUAUGAAGGCCUUCGGGUUGUAAACUUCUUUGAUCAGGGAAGAAACAAAUGACGGUACCUGAAAAACAAGCCACGGCUAACUACGUGCCAGCAGCCGCGGUAAUACGCAGGUGGCGAGCGUUAUCCGGAUUUACUGGGUGUAAAGGGCGUGCAGGCGGGCUGAUAAGUCAGAUGUGAAAUCCCCGAGCUUAACUCGGGAACUGCAUCUGAUACUGUUGGUCUUGAGUGCUGGAGAGGAUAGUGGAAUUCCCAGUGUAGCGGUGAAAUGCGUAGAUAUUGGGAGGAACACCAGUAGCGAAGGCGGCUUUCUGGACUGCAACUGACACUGAGGCACGAAAGCGUGGGUAGCAAACAGG